Ailuropoda melanoleuca (giant panda) is the source of this 924-nucleotide long non-coding RNA. RefSeq lists it as uncharacterized. The transcript has 4 exons. NCBI's taxonomy places the organism in Eukaryota, Metazoa, Chordata, Mammalia, Carnivora, Ursidae. The record is from RefSeq and is a predicted model, not a curated record.
UCUCAGCCCUAGGCACCCCUGCUGCUGGUCAUUGAAGGAUGAGGAUGAAAUGAUUGCUUUCAAGAGUGGGUAAUCACUGGUCUCAACACUCCAUCAAAUAGCAUCAUCAGCAGAGGGCGAGUGGAGAAGCUGUGUUUACUUGCCUGAUGACUGGAGGCUGUGGCUGCUACCUAUAGCUAGGAGCCCCAACUUUCUCCUGUACACCAGCCUCAGGUUCCUCAAAUGCCAAGUGAAGAUGAUAUUGGUCACUCUGCAGAGAAUUGCAGCAAGGAUUAGACGAAGAUGAGAAAAUGAAGAGAAACUCAAACUGGAACACUUGUGAAGGAUGCUAUGAAACCAGUUGAUAUUUGGACUGCACUGUUUUUACUGUAAGCUCUGAAGUUUGGGAGUCUUGGCAGAAUCAAGAGUGAGCCACCCAAUGCUUAGUUCUUCGUGUGGCCUCUCUUCCAUCACGUCGGAUUUUAGCUGUUGGGCCUGAAGACUAAGAAUGGAGCAUCAAUAAUUAAAGAGAAGUUUGCCAGCCUUUGCUCCUGGGCCCAUUUGUCCUCUGCAUUGAACCAGCAGAAAUAAAAGAGCAUGGAGAACUUACAAAUGCUUCUUUAAAGCCUUGGAUCAGAGAAGACACUCAUUUCUUCUACUUCCAUUUCAUUGGUAAAAAUUGGUCACAUGGCCACAAUAGAUGUAAACAGUUCUGGGAAAUGUAGUCGCUGGCUAAGAAGCCUCUUCCCAGCAAUGACUUGACAUUGUGAAGGGUGGAGCACACAUUUUGGGAAACAAUUAUCAGUCUCUUGCUACAAACACCUAAUCAUAGCCUUGAAAGUUAUGCUUAAUUAAUUAAUUCCUAUUCAUCCCCUGUAUCCUAUGUUUCAGGCAAAAUUUGGGGGUCUUAAAAAAGAGAAAUGAAUAAGACUCAGUCAAAUAAGU